Molecule: ribosomal RNA, 137 nt
Filed under: uncultured eukaryote
Lineage: Eukaryota
Description: partial 18S ribosomal RNA
Rfam family: Eukaryotic small subunit ribosomal RNA
Source: RNAcentral
UCGUGGAGUGAUCUGUCUGCUUGAUUGCGAUAACGAACGAGACCUCCGCCGUUAAAUAGUGUAGCGUAUGCUUGCAUAGGCUCUCACUUCAUAGCGGGACAACUCGUGUAAGCGAGGGGAAGUUGGAGGCAAUAACA